AGUGAACGCUGGCGGUAGGCCUAACACAUGCAAGUCGAGCGGAUGAAGGGAGCUUGCUCCUGGAUUCAGCGGCGGACGGGUGAGUAAUGCCUAGGAAUCUGCCUGGUAGUGGGGGAUAGCGUCCGGAAACGGGCGCUAAUACCGCAUACGUCCUGAGGGAGAAAGUGGGGGAUCUUCGGACCUCACGCUAUCAGAUGAGCCUAGGUCGGAUUAGCUAGUUGGUGGGGUAAAGGCCUACCAAGGCGACGAUCCGUAACUGGUCUGAGAGGAUGAUCAGCCACACUGGAACUGAGACACGGUCCAGACUCCUACGGGAGGCAGCAGUGGGGAAUAUUGGACAAUGGGCGCAAGCCUGAUCCAGCCAUACCGCGUGGGUGAAGAAGGCCUUCGGGUUGUAAAGCCCUUUUGUUGGGAAAGAAAAGCAGCAGGUUAAUACCCCGCUGUUCUGACGGUACCCAAAGAAUAAGCACCGGCUAACUUCGUG
Molecule: ribosomal RNA, 484 nt
Filed under: uncultured bacterium
Lineage: Bacteria
Description: partial 16S ribosomal RNA
Rfam family: Bacterial small subunit ribosomal RNA
Source: RNAcentral